Molecule: unclassified non-coding RNA, 374 nt
Filed under: uncultured Penicillium
Lineage: Eukaryota; Fungi; Ascomycota; Eurotiomycetes; Eurotiales; Aspergillaceae
Description: sequence contains ITS2
Rfam family: 5.8S ribosomal RNA (bases 1-154)
Source: RNAcentral
AACUUUUAGCAAUGGAUCACUUGGUUCCGGCAUCGAUGAAGAACGCAGCGAAAUGCGAUAACUAAUGUGAAUUGCAGAAUUCAGUGAAUCAUCGAGUCUUUGAACGCACAUUGCGCCCCCUGGUAUUCCGGGGGGCAUGCCUGUCCGAGCGUCAUUGCUGCCCUCAAGCACGGCUUGUGUGUUGGGCUCCGUCCCCCCGGGGACGGGCCCGAAAGGCAGCGGCGGCACCGAGUCCGGUCCUCGAGCGUAUGGGGCUUUGUCACCCGCUCUGUAGGCCCGGCCGGCGCCAGCCGACAACCCAUCAUCCUUUUCAGGUUGACCUCGGAUCAGGUAGGGAUACCCGCUGAACUUAAGCAUAUCAAUAAGCGGAGGCU